GACGAACGCUGGCGGCGUGCUUAACACAUGCAAGUCGAGCGACGCGCCUUCGGGUGACGGAGCGGCGAACGGGUGAGUAACACGUGGGCAACCUGCCCCUAGCUCUGGGAUAACUCCGGGAAACCGGGGCGUAAUACCGGAUAUGACAGUCGGCGGCAUCGUCGGGUGUGGAAAGUUUUUCGGUCUAGGAGUGGCCCGCGGCCUAUCAGCUUGUUGGUGGGGUGGAUGGCCUACCAAGGCGACGACGGGUAGCCGGCCGUGAGAGGGCGACCGGCCACACUGGGACUGAGACACGGCCCAGACUCCUACGGGAGGCAGCAGUGGGGAA
Molecule: ribosomal RNA, 328 nt
Filed under: uncultured bacterium
Lineage: Bacteria
Description: bacterial SSU rRNA
Rfam family: Bacterial small subunit ribosomal RNA
Source: RNAcentral